CAGCCGUAAACUAUGCGCGUUAGGUGUACUGGUGACCACGAGUCACCGGGGUGCCGAAGGGAAACCGUGAAACGUGCCGCCUGGGAAGUACGGUCGCAAGGCUGAAACUUAAAGGAUUGGCGGGGGAGCACCACAACGGGUGGAGCCUGCGGUUUAAUUGGACUCAACGCCGGAAAUACUCACCGGAUAGGACAGACAUAUGAUAGUCGGGCUGAAGACUCUACUUGAUGAUCUGAGAGGUGGUGCAUGGCGUCAGUGACU
Molecule: ribosomal RNA, 261 nt
Filed under: uncultured archaeon
Lineage: Archaea
Description: partial 16S ribosomal RNA
Rfam family: Archaeal small subunit ribosomal RNA
Source: RNAcentral